Molecule: unclassified non-coding RNA, 458 nt
Filed under: Symmetrospora sp. DMKU-SP273
Lineage: Eukaryota; Fungi; Basidiomycota; Cystobasidiomycetes; Symmetrosporaceae
Description: partial contains ITS1, 5.8S rRNA and ITS2
Rfam family: 5.8S ribosomal RNA (bases 105-258)
Source: RNAcentral
CAUUUUCCUUUACACUGUGCACAUACUACUUUUUUACACCAAUUUUUUAACACAUCAGUCUUAAGAAUGUAAAUCAAGUCUCGAAAGAGCAAUAAAUAAAACAAAACUUUCAGCAACGGAUCUCUUGGCUCUCGCAUCGAUGAAGAACGCAGCGAAAUGCGAUACGUAAUGUGAAUUGCAGAAUUCAGUGAAUCAUCGAAUCUUUGAACGCACCUUGCACUCUUUGGUAUUCCGAAGAGUAUGUCUGUUUGAGUGUCAUGAAACUCUCAACCCCCUCAUUUUGUAAUGAAGUGUAGCGUGGGCUUGGAUUAUGGCUGUCUGUCGGCUUAACCGCCGGCUCAGCUGAAAUAUACGAGCAACCCAGUUUAAAACCCUGACGGCUUGACUCGGCGUAAUAAUUAUUUCGCUGAGGACGUCUAACCUUUAAAUCGUUAGUGGUGCUUCUAAUGCAUUAAUUC